CCCGCUGAACUUAAGCAUAUCAAUAAGCGGAGGAAAAGAAACUAACAAGGAUUCCCCUAGUAACUGCGAGUGAAGCGGGAAAAGCUCAAAUUUAAAAUCUGGUGGUCUUUGGCCAUCCGAGUUGUAAUUUAGAGAAGCGUCUUCCGCGCUGGACCGUGCACAAGUCUCCUGGAACGGAGCGUCGUAGAGGGUGAGAAUCCCGUCUUUGGCACGGACACACCAGGGCUUUUGCGAUGCGCUCUCGAAGAGUCGAGUUGUUUGGGAAUGCAGCUCAAAAUGGGUGGUGAACUCCAUCUAAAGCUAAAUAUUGGCGAGAGACCGAUAGCGAACAAGUACCGUGAGGGAAAGAUGAAAAGAACUUUGGAAAGAGAGUUAAACAGUACGUGAAAUUGCUGAAAGGGAAACGCUUGAAGUCAGUCGCGUCGCUCAGGACUCAGCCUUGCUUUUGCUUGGUGUACUUCCUGUUCGAUGGGUCAGCAUCAAUUUUGGUCGGUGGAUAAAGGCUCAGAGAAUGUGGCAUCUUCGGGUGUGUUAUAGCUCUGGGUUGUAUACAUCGGCUGGGAUUGAGGAACUCAGCACGCCGCAAGGCCGGGUACUUGUACCACGUACGUGCUUAGGAUGCUGGCAUAAUGGCUUUAAUCGACCCGUCUUGAAACACGG
RNAcentral lists this ribosomal RNA (660 nucleotides) under uncultured fungus. RNAcentral's name for it is "eukaryotic LSU rRNA". It matches the Rfam family "Eukaryotic large subunit ribosomal RNA", at positions 24 to 664 of the family's 3401-position model. The record is from RNAcentral. Lineage: Eukaryota; Fungi.